UCUCCGUAGGUGAACCUGCGGAGGGAUCAUUACUGAGUGAGGGCUUCGGUCCGACCUCCAACCCUUUGUGAACCAAACUUGUUGCUUCGGGGGCGACCCUGCCGCUUCGGCGCCAGGGGGUCCCCGCUGGUCCACACAACUCUGCAUCUUUGCGUCUGAGUAAACAUUAAAUGAAACAAAACUUUCAACAACGGAUCUCUUGGUUCUGGCAUCGAUGAAGAACGCAGC
RNAcentral lists this unclassified non-coding RNA (228 nucleotides) under uncultured fungus. RNAcentral's name for it is "sequence contains ITS1, 5.8S rRNA gene". The stretch from base 180 to 228 matches the Rfam family "5.8S ribosomal RNA", at positions 1 to 49 of the family's 154-position model. The record is from RNAcentral. Lineage: Eukaryota; Fungi.